RNAcentral lists this ribosomal RNA (301 nucleotides) under uncultured bacterium. RNAcentral describes it as "partial 16S ribosomal RNA". It matches the Rfam family "Bacterial small subunit ribosomal RNA", at positions 509 to 807 of the family's 1533-position model. The record is from RNAcentral.
CAGCAGCCGCGGUAAUACGUAGGGUGCAAGCGUUAAUCGGAAUUACUGGGCGUAAAGCGUGCGCAGGCGGUGAUGUAAGACAGUUGUGAAAUCCCCGGGCUCAACCUGGGAACUGCAUCUGUGACUGCAUCGCUGGAGUACGGCAGAGGGGGAUGGAAUUCCGCGUGUAGCAGUGAAAUGCGUAGAUAUGCGGAGGAACACCGAUGGCGAAGGCAAUCCCCUGGGCCUGUACUGACGCUCAUGCACGAAAGCGUGGGGAGCAAACAGGAUUAGAUACCCCCGUAGUCCCUGUCUCUUAUAC